UAUAUGCUGUUAUUAAUAAAAUUUUAAUUCCUAUUCUACUAAAGAGUUUUCGUCCUUUCUUUGCAUCUAAUUCAUCCCUAUCUCAUGUAAUUUUUCUAAUAUAAUUGUAGCAACAAAUAACAUCUUUCAAUAAAAAUCGACAUAUACCUUCAGUACCCUUUGUUCUUAAUGCUCAUCCUUCAACCAUAUUUGAUAAAUCUUCUUGUGCAAGUACCAAAUACUUUAUUUUUCUAAGUCCCAUUAGCAUUGCUACCAAAUCUAUCACCCAUUUAUAAUAUAAAACUAAAAGACAUGUUCGGUAUAAUCCAUCUUGAUGCCAAAUGUUUGAAUAUACUUAAAAAAUUUCAUAAGAUCUUACAAAAUUUGAUAUAUCUUUGUGCAUGCCAUUCCACCAAUAUUUUUCUUUCAACUUAAUAAAUACUUCUCAAAUAUCCCUAUGCCUAGUCCAUCGACUUUCAUGAAAUUUCUUAAUGAUCUUUUGUUGAGUCUCAAUAAUAUUUACAACUUGUUGUUGUAUUUUUCUUCUUUUCUUUGGAUGCUUCCAUAAAAAUCGAUUUUGAAGAAAAUAUCCAUAUGUUUUCCUUUGAAUCCUUUUAAAUUCUUUGUUCAUCUAAC
RNAcentral lists this long non-coding RNA (615 nucleotides) under Physcomitrium patens. RNAcentral describes it as "long non-coding RNA (PPAT_LNC000795)". The record is from RNAcentral. Lineage: Eukaryota; Viridiplantae; Streptophyta; Bryopsida; Funariales; Funariaceae.